AGAAGGCUCCUGCAGGCUACACAGCGAGUCUACAGCCUGAUCCAGGCAACCUCAGGAUCUGGUCCCAGGCGUGGGGAGAACCAUCCUUAGGAAUGUUGUCCUGUCGUAAACCUAAGAGGCUCCGGUCGCCCUCAAGUGAAGGGACCAAAGCUGACAGACAAGAGGUUGCUCUCCGAAGUCACACACGAAGACAUGUCAGAGGCAGGGCUUGACCCAGGUGCACUGAGGCCUAAGCUCCCACCGGUCCUGACCUUGGAUCCCAGAAGAUGUCACAUUCCCAGUGCUGCCAAGCUGGAACACAACCAACAUUUCCUGAGCGCCUACUGAAUGUCAGGAAGGGAAAAGGCACAUACUAUACAGGUACAAGAGAGGAGUAUGUAUCUUUCAGCUCCUGUAUUGGGCAGUUUUGUGACUUGCUUUGGCCAAUGAGAUGAGACUGGAAGUGGCACAUAACUUCCUGCUGGAAAUCCUUAGGAGCUGGUGCCUGAUUUG
Long non-coding RNA from Cervus elaphus (red deer), 492 nucleotides. RefSeq lists it as uncharacterized. The transcript is spliced from 4 exons. The record is from RefSeq and is a predicted model, not a curated record. Lineage: Eukaryota; Metazoa; Chordata; Mammalia; Artiodactyla; Cervidae.